GAUGAACGCUAGCGAUAGGCUUAACACAUGCAAGUCGAGGGGCAUCACGAAUUAGCAAUAGUUUGGUGGCGACCGGUGCACGGGUGCGUAACACGUAUACAACCUACCUUCAAUUGGGGAAUAACCUGGAGAAAUCUGGACUAAUACCCCAUAGUAAACGGGAGAGGCAUCUUUUUUGUUUUAAAGAUUUAUUGAUUGGAGAUGGGUAUGCGUAGGAUUAGCUAGUUGGUAAGGUAACGGCUUACCAAGGCAACGAUCCUUAGGGGUUCUGAGAGGAAGGUCCCCCACACUGGUACUGAGACACGGACCAGACUCCUACGGGAGGCAGCAGUGAGGAAUAUUGGUCAAUGGUCGAGAGACUGAACCAGCCAAGUCGCGUGAAGGAAGACGGCUCUAUGAGUUGUAAACUUCUUUUGUACAGGAGUAAAGUGAGACACGCGUGUUUUAUUGCAAGUACUGUACGAAUAAGCAU
RNAcentral lists this ribosomal RNA (472 nucleotides) under Bacteroidetes bacterium oral taxon 274. RNAcentral's name for it is "bacterial SSU rRNA". It matches the Rfam family "Bacterial small subunit ribosomal RNA", at positions 28 to 493 of the family's 1533-position model. Lineage: Bacteria; Pseudomonadati; Bacteroidota. The record is from RNAcentral.